CGUUGCUUCGAUUCGUGGGUAUCCAGUCCGAUCUCCGGCUUCCGGCCUUCGUUCACGCAAGAAUUUAGAUCUCGCUUCUGGAUCCCUUCUGAACCUGUUCGGAUCGAUCCUUUUCUGGAGAUUUGCCUUCCGUUCUGGGUUUAGAAUCUGGUUGCUGCUUGCAUGGGAGAUGGUGGCGCCAUGGCUAUCGAAGUCAUGAAGAUUGAGCAGAGUUGUGUGGAGAACAAGCAACCAGGGGUUGCUUUGAGUUCAUCCAUGUCUGAAGGAAGUUAUGGGUUUUCUGGGAUGUCUCCGUCUGUUUGUAGCUC
Long non-coding RNA from Zingiber officinale, 308 nucleotides. RefSeq lists it as uncharacterized. NCBI's taxonomy places the organism in Eukaryota, Viridiplantae, Streptophyta, Magnoliopsida, Zingiberales, Zingiberaceae. The transcript has 3 exons. The record is from RefSeq and is a predicted model, not a curated record.